This 498-nucleotide ribosomal RNA is filed under the name Peinaleopolynoe santacatalina. Its description in RNAcentral is "partial large subunit ribosomal RNA". It matches the Rfam family "Bacterial large subunit ribosomal RNA", at positions 1809 to 2597 of the family's 2925-position model. Lineage: Eukaryota; Metazoa; Annelida; Polychaeta; Phyllodocida; Polynoidae. The record is from RNAcentral.
AAAAACAUUGCCUUUAGAACCCUUAUUAAAGGUUAAUCCUGCCCAGUGAAUUUUUUAACGGCCGCGGUACCCUAACCGUGCAAAGGUAGCAUAAUCAUUUGCCUUUUAAUUGUAGGCUAGUAUGAACGGAUAAACGAAAUUCUAACUGUAUCAUUUUUAUAAUAUAAAAAUUAGACUUCAGGUGAAGAUACCUGAAUUAAAUUGAAAGACAAGAAGACCCUAUAGAGUUUUAGUGAUAAUUUAACCAAUAACUAAUUUCACUUUGGUUGGGGCGACCUAGGAUUAACAAAAACAUCCUUUUAUAUAAAGAAUACAUUUUUCUCUAAUUUAAAGACCCUGAUUCCUCAGAUUUUUAAAAUAAACUACCUUAGGGAUAACAGGCUUAUCUUCCUAAAGAGUCCAAAUUGACAGGAAGGUCUGGCACCUCGAUGUUGGCUUAGAGUAACCUAUUAAUGCAAAAGUUAAAUUCAGGUCGGUUUGUUCAACCGUUAAACCUCU